GCUCUCAUGGCCUAAUUGGUAAGGCACCUGUUUCGUAAACAGGGGAUUCCAGGUUCGAUUCCUGGUGGGAGCA
Molecule: transfer RNA, 73 nt
Filed under: Spirochaetota bacterium
Lineage: Bacteria; Pseudomonadati; Spirochaetota
Description: Spirochaetes bacterium tRNA-Thr
Rfam family: tRNA
About the family: Transfer RNA (tRNA) molecules are approximately 80 nucleotides in length. Their secondary structure includes four short double-helical elements and three loops (D, anti-codon, and T loops).
Source: RNAcentral